GUCUUGGUCGAUUAGUGGUUAAAUCAUCUCGUUGUGGUCAGACUUAGGUGGAUUGCACAACCGAGAAGCCGAGGGCUCGACUCCCUCCCGAGACA
Non-coding RNA from Marasmius sp. AFHP31, 95 nucleotides. The record is from the annotation of a GenBank genome assembly. NCBI's taxonomy places the organism in Eukaryota, Fungi, Basidiomycota, Agaricomycetes, Agaricales, Marasmiaceae.